This 2107-nucleotide ribosomal RNA is filed under the name Ameson portunus. RNAcentral describes it as "partial large subunit ribosomal RNA". It matches the Rfam family "Eukaryotic large subunit ribosomal RNA", at positions 1 to 2983 of the family's 3401-position model. Lineage: Eukaryota; Fungi; Microsporidia; Pereziidae. The record is from RNAcentral.
AGAAUCCGUCUCUGACAAGUACUCCUUGAAUUGAAGCCUCUUAGUAAAGGAAGGAAAAGAAACUAACAAGGAUAUCCGUAGUAGUGGCGAACGAACUGGAUAGAGUCUGCUAUGUAAUCCGCAAGGAGAUGUUAAGGCUGCAAGAGAAGUCAGUUGGAAUACUGCGAAAGAUAAGGUGAUAUCCCUUACAAGGCGUUAGAAAUAAGUAGCCAUACUUGGUAGUGGAUGGUGAAGGCGGUGGUUUUUUCCAUCGAAGACUAAAUACAGGAAGAGACCGAUAGCGAAUAAGUAGAGUGAUCGAAAGUGUGAAAUUGUAGACUUACCCAUUAUUAUGGGCCCGUCUUGAAACACGGACCAAGGAGUUUUUCUUUUCUGUGAUGGGAAGCUUUUAAGAAGACGACCAAUCGAAGGAGGAGAAUAGAAGGGAAAAGACCCGAUAGAUGUGUGAACUAUUUCUGGUUCCUAUGAAGGCUAGCGAAAGCUGGCUGGAGGUGGUAAGUCGUAUUGAGUUACAGUUCAUUGACGUAAACUGGAAAUAGGGGCGAAAGACCAAUCGAACCAUCUAGUGGCUGGUUCCCCCCAAAAUGUCUCUCAGGACAGCGUUCUCUAUAAAGAGUGGUUGUGUAUAGCAAUGUUUAAUGUAGACAAACUAUAAAGCAGCAUACUUGAGAGGGAGCAGUGGGCAUGUUUUGGUAAGCAGGACUUGCGAAAAGAAAUGAAUCUUUCAGUAGUUAAGGUGCCUAAACAGGACGAAAUCAAAGGAUUGGCACGAAUAGAGACGGCAGGGCAGUGGCCAUGAAAGUCGGCAUCUGCUAAGAAGUGUGUUAUGACAUACCUGCGGAAUUCGUGCUGACCGAAAAUUGAGGGCGGUUAGUCUUGUACCGAUACUAGAGUAGUAGGGGGGCGUUCCGAUUUCAGAGAAGCUUUUGGGUGACUGGGAGUGGAGAGAUCGGGAGAGCUGAUCUUGGUAAUAGUAGUUUAUUAUAUAAUAGUCGUAUAAAGAAGGGUUUCUUAUAAAAGAGUGAGUCGGUAUUAAUCCUAGCUGUAGAAGGCAUAGGAGAAAAAGAAUGAGUUUAAUAUUACUCGACUUUGUGUGCUAGUGGCAACAGUAGAUGGCUGCAGACGGUUUGCUGUAGACAGGAUAUGACCCUCGUUGUAUCUUAGCAUGUCGUUGGAGGAUCAUCCUGCGAAGACGAUAUGAUGUUGAAGGCAGAUCUGGUAAAAAUGCAGGCAUUGAGCAUGCAAAACCGUACCCAAACCGAGACAGGUCUUUGGGAAUAGUAUUCUGCGACUGAGUUGUAAUGCUCGUAAGGGAAUUCGGCAAAAUAGAUGCGUAACUUCGGAAGAAGUAUUGGUUCUAUGGAACUUAUUGUUGCAGGAGGAAUCUGACUGUUUAGUAAAAACAUAGCUUAUUGUUUACGAUAAGUGAAUUCUGCCCGGUGCUUGCUAAGUUAUUUCCGUAAUUGGAAUAAGCACAGGUAAACGGCGGGAGUAACUAUGACUCUCUUAAGGUAGCCAAAUGCCUAGUCGUUUAAAUGGCGACGUGCAUGAAUGGAGUGACGCGAUUCCUACUGUCCCUACGAGCGGACUAGCGAACUUAUUAUCAGGGGAACGGGCCUGAAUAAUCGGCGGGGAAAGAAGACCCUGUUGAGCUUUGCUCUAGUUUACCGCAGUAUUGUCAAAAGGUGAUGUAGAUAGGAGGUGGAAUGAAAAUCCUCUGCGCCUGGCGACUCUACUAAGUUGGGAAAUGGGGAGCUUGGCUGGGGCGGCACGGCUGCAGUAACAGAACGCAGCCGACCGAAGGUAUUCUUAAUGAGGGGAGAAAACUCAUGUUAAUUUCAAGGAAAUAAGAAUGCUUAAAUGACAGUGUCAUGAAGGGAAACCUGGGCCUAGCGAUCCCGUUAGAUCCAGAGAAAAGAUCAACGGGUGACGGAAAAGUUACCGCAGGGAUAACUGGCUUGUGGCCGUCGAGCGCUGAAAGCGACACGGCUUUUUGAUUCUUCGAUGUCGGCUCUUCCUAUCAUUGCUGUGCAUCAGCAGCAAAGUGUUGGAUUGUUCACCCACUAACAGGGAACGUGAGCUGGGUUUAGACCGUCGUGAGACAGGU